Molecule: long non-coding RNA, 800 nt
Filed under: Junco hyemalis (dark-eyed junco)
Lineage: Eukaryota; Metazoa; Chordata; Aves; Passeriformes; Passerellidae
Description: lncRNA (ENSJHYG00000000026.1)
Source: RNAcentral
GGGGGGUCUCCAAAACACAGCAGGGCUCCCCCGGACCCUGCUGAUCCCCUGUCCCCAUCCCUGUCCUGUCCCAUCCCUGCCCCAUCCCUGUCCUGUCCUGUCCCAUCCCUGUCCCUGCCCCAUCCCUGCCCUGUCCCUGUCCCAUCCCUGUCCCAUCCCUGUCCCAUCCCUGUCCCUGUCCCAUCCCUGUCGCUGUCACAGGGGGUGCUGGGGGGCCUGGCCGUGGGCCUGGCACUGUCACUCUGGGUGGCCGUGGGUGCCACCCUGUACCCGCCCAGCGCGGCCACCAUGGGGGUGCUGCCCACCUGGGGGACGCUGUGCCCGCCCCACAACGCCACCAGCGCCACCAAUGCCACCAGCGCCAUCAGUGUCACCAGUGCCACCAGCGCCACCAGCGGCCCUGCCCUGCCCACGCCACCCCCGGAGCCGCUGCGCCCGGCCAUCCUGGGUGACUUCUACUCCAUCUCCUACCUGUACUACGGCGCCUUGGGGACACUGGCGACUGUGGGGACAGGGGCCCUGCUCAGCCUGCUGCCAGGGUCAGCGCGCUGUCCCCCGGGGGUGCUGUGGUGGGACAUCGUCAGGGCUGCACCCUCGGGUGGCCUCAAGGGUGACACCAGCGUUGGGGACGAGCCCCUGGACAAGGCCACGGUGACGCAGGCGCUGCUGGAGACGGGAGAGGAGCAGAAACCCCCGUGUGACCCCCCCAGGGGUGGCACUGUCACCGAGAGUGACGUGUAGGGGACAGCGGGGUGGGGACACAGUGCUGGCACCAAUAAAGGAGCUGCUGACCCUGGACA